GAUGGACGCUGGCGGCGUGCCUAAUACAUGCAAGUCGAGCGAACAGACGAGGAGCUUGCUCCUCUGACGUUAGCGGCGGACGGGUGAGUAACACGUGGAUAACCUACCUAUAAGACUGGGAUAACUUCGGGAAACCGGAGCUAAUACCGGAUAAUAUAUUGAACCGCAUGGUUCAAUAGUGAAAGACGGUUUUGCUGUCACUUAUAGAUGGAUCCGCGCCGCAUUAGCUAGUUGGUAAGGUAACGGCUUACCAAGGCAACGAUGCGUAGCCGACCUGAGAGGGUGAUCGGCCACACUGGAACUGAGACACGGUCCAGACUCCUACGGGAGGCAGCAGUAGGGAAUCUUCCGCAAUGGGCGAAAGCCUGACGGAGCAACGCCGCGUGAGUGAUGAAGGUCUUCGGAUCGUAAAACUCUGUUAUUAGGGAAGAACAAAUGUGUAAGUAACUAUGCACGCCUUGACGGUACCUAAUCAGAAAGCCACGGCUAACUACGUG
Molecule: ribosomal RNA, 497 nt
Filed under: uncultured bacterium
Lineage: Bacteria
Description: partial 16S ribosomal RNA
Rfam family: Bacterial small subunit ribosomal RNA
Source: RNAcentral